RNAcentral lists this ribosomal RNA (455 nucleotides) under uncultured organism. Its description in RNAcentral is "partial 16S ribosomal RNA". It matches the Rfam family "Bacterial small subunit ribosomal RNA", at positions 330 to 801 of the family's 1533-position model. The record is from RNAcentral.
CGUACACUCCUACGGGAGGCAGCAGUGGGGAAUAUUGGACAAUGGGCGCAAGCCUGAUCCAGCCAUGCCGCGUGAGUGAUGAAGGCCCUAGGGUUGUAAAGCUCUUUCACCGGUGAAGAUAAUGACGGUAACCGGAGAAGAAGCCCCGGCUAACUUCGUGCCAGCAGCCGCGGUAAUACGAAGGGGGCUAGCGUUGUUCGGAUUUACUGGGCGUAAAGCGCACGUAGGCGGACUAUUAAGUCAGGGGUGAAAUCCCGGGGCUCAACCCCGGAACUGCCUUUGAUACUGGUAGUCUUGAGUUCGAGAGAGGUGAGUGGAAUUCCGAGUGCAGAGGUGAAAUUCGUAGAUAUUCGGAGGAACACCAGUGGCGAAGGCGGCUCACUGGCUCGAUACUGACGCUGAGGUGCGAAAGCGUGGGGAGCAAACAGGAUUAGAAACCCCGGUAGUCCCAUGAU